CAGCCACCAGCCACCAGCCACCGAUUCCAAACCUCUCUCUCAACCAGCACAUCACCUUCACCUCCUACUUCACGAGUUUCCCUUUCCAGAAACCCAUUCUAUCUUUUCUUCCUCCUUCAAACUUCUUUCUACCACAACUUUCAUUCUACAACUCCAAUUCUUGCGCCGUUCCCGCCAUUUGGAUCGUAGGAACGAUCUCUACAAGAAAGUGUGGUUUGGGAGAAUGGUGGUCGCUGGACAGCUCAUUGAAGGUUGAGGAUUACUUUGGAGCUGUUAAGGUGAAGAAUCUACCUUGGGCUGAACCUACAGAGAACUCAGAGUAAUUUUUGGGUUGAAGUGGAAGUUGGGGAUUUCUGACUGUCUUGGAGCUCUACUGGGAAAGAACAAGUUGCAGAGAAAGAAGGAGUUUAUAGGGAUUUAUGUAGAUAUUAUGAGUUCAUCCACACCUAGCACCAUAGCUCCAACUACUUUUCAAUGUUAGGAGGAAUUUAAUUUGGGUUGUAAUGUAUAUUUGGUUGAAUUUGGGUUGUAUUUGGCUAGUAAUUUAUUUUGUUGAAGUUUGAUUUAAUUUGGGUUGUAAUUUAUAUGUUGAAGUUGGAUUGAAUUUGGAUUGUAUUUUUGUUGAAGUUGGAUUCAU
Molecule: long non-coding RNA, 637 nt
Organism: Prunus dulcis (almond)
Lineage: Eukaryota; Viridiplantae; Streptophyta; Magnoliopsida; Rosales; Rosaceae
Exons: 4
Source: RefSeq, a predicted model, not a curated record